CGUGGAUCCAGUUAGGCCUUCCGGCCAAUUUGACAGAGGUAGGGGAGAUCAGGAGAACUUGGAACGGUCCGUCAAAUCUUGGUUCCAGGGUAUGUUUUCGCACAAAUUUCUUGACCAGAACCCAGUCACCGGGGAGCAGACUGUGGUUGCCUGUGUCAGAAUCAGGAUCUGGAAUUUUAGAGAAAACUUGGACAUGGAUUUUGUUCAAAGCAUUUGCGAGUUCAGUUACAUAAUCUACUAAAACAUCAGUUUGAAGUUGUAGUUGUUGGGGAAAAUAGCAACCUAGCCUAGGUGCAGUCCCAAAUAGAAUCUCGUAUGGGGACAAUGAGGUAGUAUUUUUGUACAAGAGCAUUCAUUAGAUCUUUUGAUAAAUGUGCAGGUCUGUGUGCCCAUUGUACGACUGCUGGGUACAAAUUCUUAGGGAGGCAGAAAUUGAGGUUGUUGGAGUACACUCCAUCCUUCAGAACUGCCCCUUUCUGUUUCCACUUCUGUAUUUCUUCAGGGGCAACUGUAGCCUAUUGUUCCAGCAGGAUUUUCAGGUCAGUUGGAAGAGUCUGCAGAGUAAAUAUGGGAGUUUCUUCAUUUCCGGACACUCUUCUUUCCACUUCCUGUGGUUCUUUUGCAGCUUGUUUUGCAGCCUGAUCAGCUAGAUGGUUGCCCUUUGCUUCAUCUGAGUCCAACUUCCCAUGUGCUUUUAUCUUCAAAAUAGCCACUUCUUCUGGGAGUAGGAGGG
Pelobates cultripes (western spadefoot toad) is the source of this 733-nucleotide non-coding RNA. Lineage: Eukaryota; Metazoa; Chordata; Amphibia; Anura; Pelobatidae. The record is from the annotation of a GenBank genome assembly.